RNAcentral lists this ribosomal RNA (270 nucleotides) under uncultured archaeon. RNAcentral describes it as "partial 16S ribosomal RNA". It matches the Rfam family "Archaeal small subunit ribosomal RNA", at positions 477 to 747 of the family's 1478-position model. The record is from RNAcentral.
CUGCAGCCCGAGUGGUGGCCGAUAUUAUUGAGCCUAAAGCGUCCGUAGCCGGUCUGGUAAAUUCUUGGGUAAAUCGAGCAGCUCAACUGUCCGAAUUCCGAGGAGACUGCCAGACUUGGGACCGGGAGAGGUCAGAGGUACUCCAGGGGUAGGGGCUAAAUCCUGUAAUCCUUUGGGGACCACCAGUGGCGAAGGCGUCUGACUAGAACGGAUCCGACGGUAAGGGACGAAACCCUGGGGCGCGAACCGGAUUAGAUACCCGAGUAGUCC